Molecule: ribosomal RNA, 1665 nt
Filed under: Salmonella enterica subsp. enterica
Lineage: Bacteria; Pseudomonadati; Pseudomonadota; Gammaproteobacteria; Enterobacterales; Enterobacteriaceae
Description: partial 23S ribosomal RNA
Rfam family: Bacterial large subunit ribosomal RNA
Source: RNAcentral
GAAUGCUGACAUAAGUAACGAUAAAGCGGGUGAAAAGCCCGCUCGCCGGAAGACCAAGGGUUCCUGUCCAACGUUAAUCGGGGCAGGGUGAGUCGACCCCUAAGGCGAGGCCGAAAGGCGUAGUCGAUGGGAAACGGGUUAAUAUUCCCGUACUUGGUGUUACUGCGAAGGGGGGACGGAGAAGGCUAUGUUGGCCGGGCGACGGUUGUCCCGGUUUAAGCGUGUAGGCUGGUUUUCCAGGCAAAUCCGGAAAAUCAAGGCUGAGGCGUGACGACGAGGCACUACGGUGCUGAAGCAACAAAUGCCCUGCUUCCAGGAAAAGCCUCUAAGCAUCAGGUAACAUCAAAUCGUACCCCAAACCGACACAGGUGGUCAGGUAGAGAAUACCAAGGCGCUUGAGAGAACUCGGGUGAAGGAACUAGGCAAAAUGGUGCCGUAACUUCGGGAGAAGGCACGCUGACACGUAGGUGAAGUGAUUUACUCAUGGAGCUGAAGUCAGUCGAAGAUACCAGCUGGCUGCAACUGUUUAUUAAAAACACAGCACUGUGCAAACACGAAAGUGGACGUAUACGGUGUGACGCCUGCCCGGUGCCGGAAGGUUAAUUGAUGGGGUCAGCGCAAGCGAAGCUCCUGAUCGAAGCCCCGGUAAACGGCGGCCGUAACUAUAACGGUCCUAAGGUAGCGAAAUUCCUUGUCGGGUAAGUUCCGACCUGCACGAAUGGCGUAAUGAUGGCCAGGCUGUCUCCACCCGAGACUCAGUGAAAUUGAACUCGCUGUGAAGAUGCAGUGUACCCGCGGCAAGACGGAAAGACCCCGUGAACCUUUACUAUAGCUUGACACUGAACAUUGAGCCUUGAUGUGUAGGAUAGGUGGGAGGCUUUGAAGCGUGGACGCCAGUCUGCGUGGAGCCGGCCUUGAAAUACCACCCUUUAAUGUUUGAUGUUCUAACGUGGACCCGUAAUCCGGGUUGCGGACAGUGUCUGGUGGGUAGUUUGACUGGGGCGGUCUCCUCCUAAAGAGUAACGGAGGAGCACGAAGGUUGGCUAAUCCUGGUCGGACAUCAGGAGGUUAGUGCAAUGGCAUAAGCCAGCUUGACUGCGAGCGUGACGGCGCGAGCAGGUGCGAAAGCAGGUCAUAGUGAUCCGGUGGUUCUGAAUGGAAGGGCCAUCGCUCAACGGAUAAAAGGUACUCCGGGGAUAACAGGCUGAUACCGCCCAAGAGUUCAUAUCGACGGCGGUGUUUGGCACCUCGAUGUCGGCUCAUCACAUCCUGGGGCUGAAGUAGGUCCCAAGGGUAUGGCUGUUCGCCAUUUAAAGUGGUACGCGAGCUGGGUUUAGAACGUCGUGAGACAGUUCGGUCCCUAUCUGCCGUGGGCGCUGGAAGAUUGAGGGGGGCUGCUCCUAGUACGAGAGGACCGGAGUGGACGCAUCACUGGUGUUCGGGUUGUCAUGCCAAUGGCACUGCCCGGUAGCUAAAUGCGGAAGAGAUAAGUGCUGAAAGCAUCUAAGCACGAAACUUGCCCCGAGAUGAGUCUUCCCUGAGACUUUAAGUCUCCUGAAGGAACGUUAAAGACGAUGACGUUGAUAGGCCGGGUGUGUAAGCGCAGCGAUGCGUUGAGCUAACCGGUACUAAUGAACCGUGAGGCUUAACCUUACAACGCCGAAG